Molecule: long non-coding RNA, 1659 nt
Filed under: Heterocephalus glaber (naked mole-rat)
Lineage: Eukaryota; Metazoa; Chordata; Mammalia; Rodentia; Bathyergidae
Description: lncRNA (ENSHGLG00100046918.1)
Source: RNAcentral
AUUUCUUUUUCCUGGCCUUCUAAUCAAGAUUACUGCUUGGAAAAAGACAUUGAAACUCCUUCAAUUUAAGAGACUACAUGCCUGUAAUUGAUGUUAUCUUAGUGUGUUGCUGGAUUCCUCUACUAUGUAGUAUUUUUACCCCAUUAGUAGUGCACCUUUUAAUGUUGGCAGUCUGGGGCAAAGAUGGGCUUUUUAAAAAAAUUUAGAACCAGGUUUUUUUUCAUAAUAUCUUAAGUGAAAGUUACACAAAUACACAGUAUAUGAAAAUCACUUUCUGAGCUAAAGCAGUAGCAUUGUGACCAUUUUUUCCUCCUUUACAGAUACUUUGCAAAAGACUUAAUUUGGCAUUUUAUUUUGUUUCACUUUUUUUGGGGGGGGGUACCAGGGAUCCAACACAGGACCUUACGCUUGCAAGGCAGCCAGCAGAACCACUGAGCUAAAUCCCUGACCCUCACUUCACUUUAUUUUUAAAUAGCACCAAUCUUAUUUCUUUUUCUCUUGAAAAUAAAAGGGACAAGCAUGGGUUUCUUAUGACUACAGAGUGAGGAGUGCCACCCUGGUGAUGUCUUCUAAGUUUCCCUUCUCAGCACCAUCUGAGGGUUAAGCUCUUGAAGAAAGACAUACGGAUUUUUUAAAAAGGGAAAAUCAGUUUGACUACUGCAUAUUCUGAAAUAGAAACAUGCAACUAUUAGGUACUGCUAAACUCAUUGGAAGUAAACUGAUCUAGAAGAAUUUCCCAUAUCUGAGCCAUUUUUCAAUGUGUAGGAUUACAGCAGCAUGGACAGUUUCAGAGAGAGAGAAGAUUAUCUUGAAGAUAUUCUUUCUGAAGGUGUUACACAGAUCCUUAGUCAAGUGUUUCUUUAGAAAUAUGUGAUAGAGAUCAUCAAGAAUUCCAUUUAAGAGUUUCUAGGUGAAACCAUCUCCUCCAGUUUCAGACACUUAUGGGUCAUUGUCAUCAUCACCACAUUUGCACUGAAGAGCCGUCAACACUCUAUUUUCAAGCACAUGAGCUUUUAAGAAGCCUGUGUCCCCAGAUAAAUCUGAAAGAGAACUUGGUAACUAUGAUAUCGAUUGGGAUAUGAUGAGUUCACAGUAUUUCAACUUCUUCCACAGUUAUUUCACAAAAACAGGUGCGCAGUGUUAGGAUUGGUGGCGCUCUUCCGACAAAGUCACGUGGGAAAGGGAUACUGUCAAUGCCACUCUGCAGAGGUAGCAGGAAGCACUGCUUGCCACCAGCCACAGGAGCUCUCUCACUCUUAGAAAUGUUGUGGAGCUGCACAGAGGAAGAAUAUCAGUGUCAACAGAUGUGGUGAUCUACCAGUAGGACUCUUGGAACCCGUAACAAUGCAUAUGGAUCUCUUGGGUGGCCUUUUCUCCUGUCUCUGUGAAGCCAUUUCACAUCCUAGGCAAAAUUACAGACAAUGUUAACUGUUAUUUUCUAACUAAAAUUAUGUGGGUUGUUGGACAUUGAAUUUCGAUUGUAGUUUACCCACACUUCACUUUGGCCCCCGCACUGUACCUACUGUGAUAUUUUCUUUCUCAUGUUGAGUCCAGCCUGCAUUGCCUCCUUCAUAGUAAAAUCAGAGUUAAGGGGAGAAAUUAGUGAAUGUGCAACUGGGUCACAGCUUUAAACCUCAAGAAUUCAUACAAAUAAAUCAC